UGGGGAAUCUUGCGCAAUGGACGAAAGUCUGACGCAGCGACGCCGCGUGGGUGAUGAAGGCCUUCGGGUUGUAAAGCCCUGUGGGGAGAGACGAAUAAGUUUCGGUUAAUACCCGAAGCGAUGACGGUAUCUCCUUAGCAAGCACCGGCUAACUCUGUGCCAGCAGCCGCGGUAAGACAGAGGGUGCAAACGUUGUUCGGAAUUACUGGGCGUAAAGCGCGUGUAGGCGGCCAAGCAAGUCGGAUGUGAAAGCCCUCGGCUCAACCGGGGAAGUGCACUCGAAACUGCAUGGCUAGAGUCUCGGAGAGGAUCGUGGAAUUCUCGGUGUAGAGGUGAAAUUCGUAGAUAUCGAGAGGAACACCGGUGGCGAAGGCGGCGAUCUGGACGAUGACUGACGCUGAGACGCGAAAGCGUGGGGAGCAAACAGGAUUAGAUACCCCGGUAGUCC
Molecule: ribosomal RNA, 448 nt
Filed under: uncultured bacterium
Lineage: Bacteria
Description: bacterial SSU rRNA
Rfam family: Bacterial small subunit ribosomal RNA
Source: RNAcentral